RNAcentral lists this unclassified non-coding RNA (671 nucleotides) under Hevea brasiliensis (rubber tree). The record is from RNAcentral. Lineage: Eukaryota; Viridiplantae; Streptophyta; Magnoliopsida; Malpighiales; Euphorbiaceae.
GAAAUCUGUGUAAGGGGUCCCAUUGUUUUCCAAGGCUAUCAUAAAGAUGAAGCACAGACGAGAGAAGUAAUUGAUGAAGAUGGAUGGCUUCAUACUGGAGAUAUAGGACUAUGGUUACCUGGGGGUCGUCUGAAGAUUAUCGAUAGAAAGAAGAACAUUUUUAAGCUGGCGCAGGGAGAGUACAUAGCUCCGGAGAAAAUUGAGAAUGUUUACAUUAAGUCCGAAUUUAUUGCCCAGUGCUUUGUGUAUGGGGACAGCCUGAACUCCUCUCUGGUAGCUAUUGUUUCAGUGGACCCAGAUAUUUUGAAAGCAUGGGCUGCUUCUGAAGGCAUUAAGUAUGAAAAUUUGGAGCAGCUAUGCAAUAAUCCAAGAGCGAGGGCUGCUGUUCUUGCAGACAUGGAUGUUGUUGGAAGAGAAGCUCAGCUCCGAGGUUUUGAAUUUGCAAAAGCUGUGACUCUAGUGUCAGAACCAUUUUCAAUGGAAAAUAGUCUUCUGACCCCAACAAUGAAGAUUAAGAGACCUCAGGCAAAGGCAUACUUUGAGAACGAAAUAUCGAAGAUGUACGCAGAGCUUGCUACAUCUGAUCUCUCCCCUAAAGGGAAGUUGUGAAGUUGACAAGGAAAGCACAGAAACAUAGAAGCAGGGCCAAAAAUUUCGCAGCCUCCUUCCCA